Molecule: ribosomal RNA, 205 nt
Filed under: uncultured bacterium
Lineage: Bacteria
Description: partial 16S ribosomal RNA
Rfam family: Bacterial small subunit ribosomal RNA
Source: RNAcentral
CAUGUAGGCGGUUUUUUAAGUCUGGAGUGAAAAUGCGGGGCUCAACCCCGUAUGGCUCUGGAUACUGGAAGACUUGAGUGCAGGAGAGGAAAGGGGAAUUCCCAGUGUAGCGGUGAAAUGCGUAGAUAUUGGGAGGAACACCAGUGGCGAAGGCGCCUUUCUGGACUGUGUCUGACGCUAAGAUGCGAAAGCCAGGGUAGCAACG